RNA transcript from Myotis brandtii (Brandt's bat), 1659 nucleotides. It is a transcript of the gene named protein FAM136A, with no coding region annotated. The transcript has a single exon. The record is from RefSeq and is a predicted model, not a curated record. Lineage: Eukaryota; Metazoa; Chordata; Mammalia; Chiroptera; Vespertilionidae.
GCGGGGUCGCCAUGGCGGACGUGCAGCAGCUUCGGGUGCAGGAGGCGGUGGACACCAUGGUGAAGAGUCUGGAGAGAGAGAAUAUCCGGAAGAUGCAGGGCCUCAUGUUCCGGUGCAGCGCUGACUGUUGUGAGGACAGCCAGGCGUCCAUGCAGCAGGUGCACCAGUGCAUUGAGCGCUGCCACGCACCUCUGGCUCAAGCCCAGGCCCUGGUUACCAGCGAGUUGGAGAAGUUCCAGGACCGCCUGGCCCGGUGCACCGUGCAUUGCAACGACAAAGCCAAAGACUCCAUAAAUGCAGGGAGUAAAGAGCGUCAGGUGAAGCGGCAGCUGGAGAGUUGUGUGACCAAGUGCGUAGAUGACCAUAUGAACCUCAUUCCCACCUUGACCAAGAAGAUGAAGGAGUCUCUCUCAUCCAUUCAGAAAUAGCAGUCUUUGCCAUUGGCCAUGGAGGCUGAGGGCAGGAACCUGUUUAAAAUGAAGAGUGCGAAUGUUGGUCUUUUAAGCAGUUUAGGGAUGAAGAAAUUAAGGAUGGCAGCAAGUUUAAGGCAUGUGUCACUUGCCUCUGGACAGGGUUCUUUUAUGUUUUAAUCCUAGAAAGUGAAAUGGGGGAAAAAACUGGUGCUAAAGUUUGGGUCAGAGAGUUUUUGAGAGCCUAAAUUUUAUGUGGCAAAUGCUUAUCCUGGCAGCAGGCAUUUCCCUCAUAUGAAGCCAGAGCCCUCUGAGGUACCGACAAGCUGACAGUGUCCUCUAACCUGCCAGUGGUCUGGUGGGAGGGGAGGAGAGGUGUUUCUGUUUGUUGCCAACCUCCUGUUUACCAGAAGCAUUACCACACCAUUGUCCAUAAGCUGUGAAACAAAACCCAUGAGGUUACUAAUUGAGAAGUGGAAAAACGGUUUCUGAGUAUUUGUUUGGUUUGGUUUGGUUUUAGGUACAAGGGCAUAAAGUUCAUUUAAGAUGUGGAGUUGAGGGAGGGAGUUUGGAUAAGAACUUGAAAAGGUUCCUUUGGAUAGAUAUCGUUUCUGUCCAAGGUGUGGACAUGCAUUUAAGUGCUCACACAUUACACCUUCCAGCUCGGAAACCCUACAGAAACAUGAGAGGCAAUGUCACCCUGGACAUGGAAGCAGACCUUCCUUCUCACUGGCUGCCGUGAUGGGUCCUAAGCCCGUCUGCAGCAGUGACGGGACAAUCUUGCCGUGGUCCUCCACCUUGAAGGGCAAGAGGGUUUUGAUUGUGCUGUAUACCAAUAUCCAGGAAUAAACAGUGAGAGAGGAACUGUUGCUGCUUCAUUAAGAGUUAUGAAGUACUGGAUUUGGGAAAAACCUGGUUUUCAGGAAUGAAACCUGAAUCCAGUAUUGCUUACGUAGCCGCCUCAAAUAACAGAGCCCUACUGAGACAAUCUUUUGGCAACAGGAAGAGCAAGGGAGAAAAAAGAAGGGCAGCCCCCCAUUACCAAAUACCACUUUUGCCGGGCCCUUUGCAACAUACAGUGUUCCUACCCCAGCUCUGGCACCUUACUGUUUUGAUAAGGAGCUGCUGUCUUUUUACCAACUUAUUACUUGAAAUGAUAAAAUAGCUUGUCUGUUUGCCGUUUCAAGACUGUGAUAUAUUUUCCUAAUGGUCUGGUUUUAAAAAAUAAAUAAGGUUUAAUUUUCCUCUA